GAAAAAUAAAUUCAUCACCCAAUGUUAAUACUACUGCAUCAGGUGUUGAAGACCUUAACAUCAUUCAGGUGACAAUUCCAGAUGAUGAUAAUGAAAGACUCUCGAAAGUUGAAAAAGCUAGACAGCUAAGAGAACAAGUGAAUGACCUCUUUAGUCGGAAAUUUGGUGAAGCUAUUGGUAUGGGUUUUCCUGUGAAAGUUCCCUACAGGAAAAUCACAAUUAACCCUGGCUGUGUGGUGGUUGAUGGCAUGCCCCCGGGGGUGUCCUUCAAAGCCCCCAGCUACCUGGAAAUCAGCUCCAUGAGAAGGAUCUUAGACUCUGCCGAGUUUAUCAAAUUCACGGUCAUUAGGUAAGUGAGAGUUUCCUGCUUAGUCACAGGAGCGAAUCUGGAGCUCAUGAGGCUGACUCUUCUAAAAUGCAGCCACAGGUAGUCAUCGAAUCCGGCUUCCUAUGCUGUGCAAUCAACAAAUCAAAAUAACUUGUGUCAUCAUUAGAAUGUCAGAUGUGCUUCUACGAACUAAGCUGACUCUUUUAAUUCUUUGGCAAAGGGUUGGCAAACUAGGACUGUUUGCCAAAUUCAGCCUGCCUCCUAUUUUUAGAGUCUUCCUGAAACACAGCUACACCCGUAUUAUCCAUGGCUGCUUUCCUGUCACAGUGAGUAAGUAGCUGGGACUGAGAUGGCAUGGCCUCCAAAGUCUAAAAUAUUUACUCUCUAGCACUUUGUAGAAAAACCUUAGCUAGGCACAGUGGCUAACGCCUGUAAUCCCAGCAUUUUGGGAGGCCAAGGCAGGCAGAUCACCUGAGGUCAGGAGUUCCAGACCAGCCUGGCCAACAUGGUGAAAUCCCAUCUCUACAAAAAU
RNAcentral lists this small RNA (860 nucleotides) under Pan troglodytes (chimpanzee). RNAcentral describes it as "retained intron". Lineage: Eukaryota; Metazoa; Chordata; Mammalia; Primates; Hominidae. The record is from RNAcentral.